CUUCAGGAGAGGGGCCUUCAAGAAGAGAACGAAGUUGGGGCGGAAAACAGGGGCUCUCCCAGCGCAGGAAGCCAGGCGAGCGACGACUGCCAGGUAGUGGGACCAGAACUCACCCACGGCAACAGAGCCCAUAACUGCAUCCCCUCAUGGGCCUUUGGGCUGUGCAGCCAGCUCCGUCUUCCUCCUGGUGACGAAUUGAGAGCGACGGAGUCGAAGCCAGAGUGACCCCUGGAAAGCAACAACUUCCGGAACGCGGCAUUAUGGGAAGUGACUAGGCCACCACCACCCCACCCCCCACCUCCCGGGACCAUCGGCUCUGACGCUAGUAAAUCUGCGCCUGCGUGCGGCUUGCGCCGGAUGUUCGGGCUUAGGGGUUUGGUUGUCAGUGCGUUUUCUGGUCUCUGACAUAACCAUGAAGUUAUACAAAUGCUUCUGAAGUGUGGGCAUCCGGUGGUGGUCUGAGCCUUGGAGUUUCCUAGAUGGUUACCUUAACAUUUGGAGGCUAAGAGGGGGAACGCUUAAAUUUGUUUCCCUAAUUCUGUCCUGUCGACUUCUAAAACUGAGUACUUAAGUUGUCUUGAAUUUACCUUCCUGCACCAUGUCAGAAUAAAAAACGCAGCGAGUGA
Molecule: non-coding RNA, 626 nt
Filed under: Pongo abelii (Sumatran orangutan)
Lineage: Eukaryota; Metazoa; Chordata; Mammalia; Primates; Hominidae
Source: RNAcentral